AUUGAAUCAAUUUUAGUUAGAUUCGAACCGACCGGAGGUUCGAGCCGAGCGUAGCGAGACAACGUUGCUUUAGCAACGACCCGUAGGGCGAGCAUGUUAAUGCGAGUCAUCCUCUCUCGCCGACCA
RNAcentral lists this small RNA (126 nucleotides) under Gilliamella sp. wkB108. RNAcentral describes it as "RtT sRNA". It matches the Rfam family "RtT RNA". From Rfam's summary of the family: This family represents a bacterial cis-regulatory element known as RtT RNA. The exact function of RtT is unknown although it is thought that it may be involved in changing the cellular response in relation to amino acid starvation. Lineage: Bacteria; Pseudomonadati; Pseudomonadota; Gammaproteobacteria; Orbales; Orbaceae. The record is from RNAcentral.